This is a long non-coding RNA of Oncorhynchus keta (chum salmon), 365 nucleotides long. RefSeq lists it as uncharacterized. The record is from RefSeq and is a predicted model, not a curated record. NCBI's taxonomy places the organism in Eukaryota, Metazoa, Chordata, Actinopteri, Salmoniformes, Salmonidae. The transcript has 3 exons.
GUAAUGGUGGACUGAAAGGUGUGUUUGUUGCCAACAGAUCAUAUAUUUUAGUAAUGGGGGACUGAAAGGUGUGUUUGUUGCCAACAGAUCAUAUAUUUUAGUAAUGGGGGACUGAAAGGUGUGUUUGUUGCCAACAGAUCAUAUAUUUUAGUAAUGGUGGACUGAAAGGUGUGUUUGUUGCCAACAGAUCAUAUAUUUUAGUAAUGAUGGACUGAAAGGUGUGUUUGUUGUCAACAGAUCAUAUAUUUUAGUAAUGGUGGACUGAAAGGUGUGUUUGUUGCCAACAGAUCAUAUAUUUUAGUAAUGGUGGACUGAAAGGUGUGUUUGUUGUCAACAGAUCAUAUAUUUUAGUAAUGGGGGACUGA